GUGCAGCAGUCGAGAAACCUCCGCAAUACACGAAAGUGUGACGGGGCCAUCCCGAGUGCCGUCCGCUGAGGACGGCUUUUCCCCAGUGUACACAGCUGGGGGAAUAAGGAGAGGGCAAGCCUGGUGUCAGCCGCCGCGGUAAUACCAGCUCUCCGAGUGGUGGGGACGCUUAUUGGGCCUAAAGCAUCCGUAGCCGGCUGGGCAAGUCCUCCGUUAAAUCCAACGAUUCAAUCGUUGGGCUGCGGGGGAUACUGUCCAGCUUGGGGGCGGGAGAGGCCGACGGUAUUCCCGGGGUAGGGGUGAAAUCCUAUAACCCCGGGAGGACCACCAGGGGCGAAGGCUGUCGGCUAGAACGCGCCCGACGGUGAGGGAUGAAAGCUGGGGGAGCGAACCGGAUUAGAUAUCCGUGUAGU
This 413-nucleotide ribosomal RNA is filed under the name uncultured microorganism. RNAcentral describes it as "bacterial SSU rRNA". It matches the Rfam family "Archaeal small subunit ribosomal RNA", at positions 330 to 745 of the family's 1478-position model. The record is from RNAcentral.